Molecule: long non-coding RNA, 712 nt
Organism: Cucumis sativus (cucumber)
Lineage: Eukaryota; Viridiplantae; Streptophyta; Magnoliopsida; Cucurbitales; Cucurbitaceae
Exons: 3
Source: RefSeq, a predicted model, not a curated record
GUCCUAUGUUCAAAAGUUUGCUGGUGUGUAUCUUUGUUGGCUCGACAUGUUUUUAAUUUAUGAUUGUUGUUGGUGGAGAGAGCGGAAGAUGCCGGGGACAGUUUGGAGAAGAUCAAGCGGCAGCUGGCCUCUGGGUCUGGUCGGAAUUUGUUGCAGGGUCCCCUUCUAAAGCGAUCUGAAACAUUGAGGAAAUGGAAUGAGCGAUGGGUAGUUUUGGACCCAACAACAGGGAAAAUGGAGUAACCAUACGUCCCAUUUACACUGUUUUUGGUCCUUCCUUGCUUGGUUCAAUGUAGUAAUAUGUUGGUGGAAACAGCUCAUUUCUAAUGCUGCUGCCGAUGGUGAUGGGGUCAAUGGACCUCUGCCAAGAGUGUUCAUAUCACAAAUUGUUGUGGAUUAGUUGAGUAAAUAAACUCAGUACAUAAUCAGAAGAUACACUGAAUGUUCUUGCAUUGGGAAGAAGCAUGCUGCUUUGGCUGGUUCCUUCACAUCAGAAGACCUGUGCUACCACGUUUACUUCCAAUUUCAAGAGUGCCUUGAUCCUUUGAUUUACUUCCAAUUUUUGGAGGCUGGUUUCAGCACAGGUGUGGUUUCCUUUUUAUCAUCAUCACCUGACAAUCUUUUCACGUUUUUUCCAGAAAUAGAUUUAGCUGAUCCCUUCUUUCUCUUGACCUCUGAUUGUUUUAAAGAACUCCCCCCACUCUUGCUGGUU